UACGUAGGGUCCGAGCGUUGUCCGGAAUUAUUGGGCGUAAAGGGCUCGUAGGCGGUUUGUCGCGUCGGGAGUGAAAACACGGGGCUUAACCCCGUGCCUGCUUCCGAUACGGGCAGACUAGAGGUAUGCAGGGGGAGAACGGAAUUCCUGGUGUAGCGGUGAAAUGCGCAGAUAUCAGGAGGAACACCGGUGGCGAAGGCGGUUCUCUGGGCAUUACCUGACGCUGAGGAGCGAAAGUGUGGGGGAGCGAACAGG
This 255-nucleotide ribosomal RNA is filed under the name uncultured bacterium. Its description in RNAcentral is "partial 16S ribosomal RNA". It matches the Rfam family "Bacterial small subunit ribosomal RNA", at positions 524 to 776 of the family's 1533-position model. The record is from RNAcentral.